RNAcentral lists this long non-coding RNA (331 nucleotides) under Nicotiana benthamiana. RNAcentral's name for it is "long non-coding RNA (NBEN_LNC035541)". Lineage: Eukaryota; Viridiplantae; Streptophyta; Magnoliopsida; Solanales; Solanaceae. The record is from RNAcentral.
AGGGUUGUUUGAAAGGAAAGGAUUGCAGGACGGGAAAGAUGAGGUUUUGGUGGUCUGGUGGUAUAAAGUUGGGGUGGUUUGGGGUUGGGUCGCUGGUGACGGUGGUUCAGACGACCGUUCUUUUGAAUAUUUGAGACGGAGGAGGGUUGUUCGAAUGAAGCUGAUUGUAGGACGGGGAAGAGGAGGUUUUGGUGGUCUAGUGGUGUAAAGAUGGGGUGGUUUGGUGGCCGCCUCCACCGUAAGGCGAUUUCCGGCGACGGUGUAGGGUGGCUGCUGGGUGGUCAAGGGUGGUCAUAAGGCGGUCAAUGGUGGUCAUACACCGGAGUAUUUU